UCCUAGCACUAGAAACCAAA
RNAcentral lists this unclassified non-coding RNA (20 nucleotides) under Dictyostelium discoideum. Lineage: Eukaryota; Evosea; Eumycetozoa; Dictyosteliales; Dictyosteliaceae. The record is from RNAcentral.